RNAcentral lists this ribosomal RNA (360 nucleotides) under uncultured soil bacterium. Its description in RNAcentral is "bacterial SSU rRNA". It matches the Rfam family "Bacterial small subunit ribosomal RNA", at positions 26 to 387 of the family's 1533-position model. The record is from RNAcentral.
AGAUUGAACGCUGGCGGCAGGCCUAACACAUGCAAGUCGAGCGGCAGCACGGGUACUUGUACCUGGUGGCGAGCGGCGGACGGGUGAGUAAUGCCUAGGAAUCUGCCUAGUGGUGGGGGAUAACGUUCGGAAACGGACGCUAAUACCGCAUACGUCCUACGGGAGAAAGCGGGGGACCUUCGGGCCUCGCGCCAUUAGAUGAGCCUAGGUCGGAUUAGCUAGUUGGUGAGGUAAUGGCUCACCAAGGCGACGAUCCGUAACUGGUCUGAGAGGAUGAUCAGUCACACUGGAACUGAGACACGGUCCAGACUCCUACGGGAGCAGCAGUGGGAAUAUGGACAAGUGGGACGAAAGCCUGAU